RNAcentral lists this ribosomal RNA (468 nucleotides) under uncultured bacterium. Its description in RNAcentral is "partial 16S ribosomal RNA". It matches the Rfam family "Bacterial small subunit ribosomal RNA", at positions 28 to 507 of the family's 1533-position model. The record is from RNAcentral.
GACGAACGCUGGCGGCGUGCUUAACACAUGCAAGUCGAACGGAAAGGCCCUGCUUUUGUGGGGUGCUCGAGUGGCGAACGGGUGAGUAACACGUGAGUAACCUGCCCUUGACUUUGGGAUAACUUCAGGAAACUGGGGCUAAUACCGGAUAGGAGCUCCUGCUGCAUGGUGGGGGUUGGAAAGUUUCGGCGGUUGGGGAUGGACUCGCGGCUUAUCAGCUUGUUGGUGGGGUAGUGGCAUACCAAGGCUUUGACGGGUAGCCGGCCUGAGAGGGUGACCGGCCACAUUGGGACUGAGAUACGGCCCAGACUCCUACGGGAGGCAGCAGUGGGGAAUAUUACACAAUGGGCGGAAGCCUGAUGCAGCAACGCCGCGUGCGGGAUGACGGCCUUCGGGUUGUAAACCGCUUUCGCCUGUGACGAAGCGUGAGUGACGGUAAUGGGUAAAGAAGCACCGGCUAACUACGUG